GAUGAACGCUGGCGGCAGGCUUAACACAUGCAAGUCGAACGAGAUCUUCGGAUCUAGUGGCAGACGGGUGAGGAACACGUGGGAACAUCCCUUUCAGUUCGGAAUAACGUUGGGAAACUAACGCUAAUACCGGAUACGUCCUUCGGGAGAAAGAUUUAUCGCUGAAAGAUUGGCCCGCGUCUGAUUAGCUAGUUGGUGAGGUAACGGCUCACCAAGGCUACGAUCAGUAGCUGAACUGAGAGGAUGAUCAGCCACAUUGGGACUGAGCCACGGCCCAAGCACCUAUGGGGGGCAGCAGUGGGGAAUAUUGGACAAGGUGCGCAAGCCUGAUGCGGCGAUGCCGCGGGAGUGAUGACGGCCUUAGGGGUGUAAAGCUCUUUUGUCCGGGAAGAUAAUGACUGUACCGGAAGAAUAAGCCCCGGCAAACUUCGUGCCAGCCGCCGCGGUAA
Molecule: ribosomal RNA, 449 nt
Filed under: uncultured bacterium
Lineage: Bacteria
Description: partial 16S ribosomal RNA
Rfam family: Bacterial small subunit ribosomal RNA
Source: RNAcentral